Molecule: ribosomal RNA, 269 nt
Filed under: uncultured prokaryote
Description: partial 16S ribosomal RNA
Rfam family: Bacterial small subunit ribosomal RNA
Source: RNAcentral
UACGGAGGAUCCGAGCGUUAUCCGGAUUUAUUGGGUUUAAAGGGUGCGUAGGCGGGAGAUUAAGUCGGUGGUGAAAUUUUGCAGCUCAACUGUAAAAGUGCCAUUGAUACUGGUUUCCUUGAGUGUGGAUGAAGUAGGCGGAAUUUGUGGUGUAGCGGUGAAAUGCAUAGAUAUCACGAGGAACUCCGAUUGCGCAGGCAGCUUACUAAACCAUAACUGACGCUCAGGCACGAAGGCGUGGGGAUCAAACAGGAUUAGAUACCCGCGUA